UCCCUCUUAGCUCAGUUGGUAGAGCGCGUCACUCGUAUGCAUAUGCGUAGAAGAUACUAAUGACGAGGUCAGUCGUUCAAAUCGGCUAGCGGGAA
Non-coding RNA from Mycena olivaceomarginata, 95 nucleotides. The record is from the annotation of a GenBank genome assembly. Lineage: Eukaryota; Fungi; Basidiomycota; Agaricomycetes; Agaricales; Mycenaceae.